Molecule: ribosomal RNA, 398 nt
Filed under: uncultured bacterium
Lineage: Bacteria
Description: partial 16S ribosomal RNA
Rfam family: Bacterial small subunit ribosomal RNA
Source: RNAcentral
AUACGUAGGGUGCGAGCGUUGUCCGGAAUUACUGGGCGUACAGAGCUCGUAGGUGGUUUGUCGCGUCGUCUGUGAAAUUCCGGGGCUUAACUCCGGGCGUGCAGGCGAUACGGGCAUAACUUGAGUACUGUAGGGGAGACUGGAAUUCCUGGUGUAGCGGUGAAAUGCGCAGAUAUCAGGAGGAACACCGGUGGCGAAGGCGGGUCUCUGGGCAGUAACUGACGCUGAGGAGCGAAAGCAUGGGUAGCGAACAGGAUUAGAUACCCUGGUAGUCCAUGCCGUAAACGGUGGGCGCUAGGUGUAGGGGUCUUCCACGACUUCUGUGCCGUAGCUAACGCAUUAAGCGCCCCGCCUGGGGAGUACGGCCGCAAGGCUAAAACUCAAAGGAAUUGACGGGG